CAAAGCAUAGCUUAGAUUUAAGCAUCUAGUCUACACCCAGAAGAUUUCACAAUAAGUGAAUGCCUUGA
RNAcentral lists this transfer RNA (68 nucleotides) under Hippopotamus amphibius (hippopotamus). RNAcentral's name for it is "transfer RNA-Val". Lineage: Eukaryota; Metazoa; Chordata; Mammalia; Artiodactyla; Hippopotamidae. The record is from RNAcentral.